This 364-nucleotide unclassified non-coding RNA is filed under the name Hevea brasiliensis (rubber tree). Lineage: Eukaryota; Viridiplantae; Streptophyta; Magnoliopsida; Malpighiales; Euphorbiaceae. The record is from RNAcentral.
UGGGACAAACCUGAUUAUCAUAAGUUGAAGCUGGAGCAGGUGGAGCUGAGCUGGCUGGUUGGGUGUCAACUGGAUUAGAAGGAAAACUUGGCUUAAAACUGUUCGAUUGGGAAGGUUUAGAGGUGCUGAAAGAUGUUGCACCAUAUAAAGGUGGAGGGAGGGAAAUCCUCUCAGGAACAUUCCCCUUGCAACGACCCAAUAUAUUAAGCUCUAUCGUGGCCUUAUAUUGAGAAGGAAUUUCCAUUAGAGCUGCCAGAGCAAAUUCUGUCUCCUUUUGGGAUGAGUCCACAUGCUUUGACAUAAUUUCUGUAAAAUUUACAAAUUGGAAAUUAUCGAACUCUCGAGCAGGGAUGUUAUCAUCAAA